This 215-nucleotide unclassified non-coding RNA is filed under the name Hevea brasiliensis (rubber tree). Lineage: Eukaryota; Viridiplantae; Streptophyta; Magnoliopsida; Malpighiales; Euphorbiaceae. The record is from RNAcentral.
GAAAAAUAAAUCACAGAUAACCAAAAUUAAAAUAAAAAAAAGCAAUAAAAGAGAACCCAAAUGAUGAAAAAUAGAGAGAUUUAUUUCACCUAGAAGGGUCGUUGCAGAAGAGAAAAUGGAUUGGCUUCCUUCAAUCCAUGUGCAAAAACAGUGAGAAUCGAUCUCAUAGAUAGGGAAAGUCUCGAGCAAAGGCCUCCCCUUUGCUGCAUUUGUCA